Molecule: small RNA, 2690 nt
Filed under: Pan troglodytes (chimpanzee)
Lineage: Eukaryota; Metazoa; Chordata; Mammalia; Primates; Hominidae
Description: processed transcript
Source: RNAcentral
CAUGGUUCGUAUCAGGAUCUGACUACUGAAGCUUCUAAGGAAAUAUGUGACCAGAUAAGGUCAUCACCUUCAGGACCACAAUGCCUGGUAGGGCAAGGACUCGCGCCCGAGGCAGAGCCCGCCGCAGGGAGAGCUACCAACAAGAGGCACCUGGGGGACCCAGAGCACCUGGAUCAGCUACAACCCAGGAGCCCGCUCAGUUGCAGUCGACACCCCGGCCGCUGCAGGAGGAAGUCCCAGUGGUUAGACCUCUGCAGCCAAGAGCAGCAAGAGGAGGAGCACAGUCUCAAGGGGUGAAGGAACCUGGACCUGAGGCUGGGUUGCAUACAGCGCCCUUGCAGGAGAGAAGGAUUGGUGGAGUUUUUCAAGACCUGGUGGUGAACACUAGGCAAGAUAUGAAGCAUGUUAAAGACUCAAAAACAGGUUCAGAGGGUACAGUGGUACAGCUACUCGCCAACCACUUCCGAGUGAUAUCUCGUCCUCAGUGGGUUGCAUAUAAAUAUAACGUUGACUACAAACCAGACAUAGAAGAUGGAAAUCUCCGUACAAUUUUACUUGAUCAACAUAGAAGGAAGUUUGGAGAGCGCCAUAUAUUUGAUGGAAACUCUUUAUUAUUAUCUCGGCCACUAAAAGAGCGGAGAGUGGAAUGGUUGAGCACAACCAAAGACAAAAACAUCGUGAAGAUUACAGUUGAGUUUUCCAAAGAACUCACGCCCACGUCGCCAGAUUGCCUACGCUAUUACAACAUUCUCUUUAGAAGAACUUUCAAGCUGCUGGAUUUUGAACAAGUUGGUCGCAACUAUUAUACCAAAAAGAAGGCCAUUCAGUUAUACCGUCAUGGUACCAGUUUGGAAAUCUGGCUGGGUUAUGUUACUUCUAUUCUUCAAUACGAAAACAGCAUUACCCUCUGUGCCGAUGUGAGCCACAAACUGCUCCGAAUAGAAACUGCUUAUGAUUUCAUAAAGAGAACAUCUGCCCAGGCCCAGACAGGAAACAUCCGAGAGGAAGUAACUAAUAAAUUAAUUGGAUCAAUUGUUCUGACAAAAUACAACAACAAAACCUACAGAGUAGAUGAUAUUGAUUGGAAGCAGAAUCCUGAAGACACAUUUAACAAAUCAGAUGGCAGCAAAAUCACCUAUAUAGACUACUACAGGCAGCAACAUAAAGAAAUUGUCACAGUGAAGAAACAGCCACUUUUGGUCAGCCAGGGCAGAUGGAAAAAGGGCCUAACGGGUACACAACGUGAACCUAUCCUGCUGAUUCCUCAGCUGUGCCACAUGACAGGUCUAACAGAUGAAAUACGUAAAGAUUAUAGCAUUAUGAAAGAAUUGGCUAAACAUACAAGAUUGAGUCCAAGAAGAAGGCAUCAUACAUUAAAAGAAUUCAUCAAUACUCUACAAGAUAAUAAAAAAGUACGAGAGUUACUUCAACUCUGGGAUCUGAAAUUUGAUACCAAUUUUUUAUCCGUCCCGGGAAGAGUUUUGAAAAACGCAAACAUCGUGCAAGGCAGAAGAAUGGUUAAAGCCAAUUCACAAGGAGACUGGUCAAGAGAAAUAAGAGAAUUACCCUUACUUAAUGCAAUGCCACUACAUAGUUGGCUCAUACUCUAUAGCAGGAGCAGUCACAGAGAAGCCAUGACCUUAAAGGGUCAUCUACAGAGUGUCACAGCCCCCAUGGGCAUAACUAUGAAACCAGCAGAAAUGAUUGAAGUAGAUGGUGAUGCUAACUCCUAUAUAGACACAUUACGGAAAUAUACUAGACCAACACUGCAGAUGGUGAUUUGUAUCCUGCCCAAUGAUGACAAACGUAGAUAUGACAGCAUAAAAAGAUACCUGUGUACCAAAUGCCCAAUUCCAAGCCAGUGUGUGGUGAAAAAGACCUUAGAAAAAGUCCAGGCAAGGACCAUCGUCACCAAGAUUGCCCAGCAGAUGAAUUGCAAGAUGGGAGGAGCCCUCUGGAAGGUGGAGACAGACGUACAAAGAACAAUGUUCGUUGGCAUUGAUUGUUUCCACGAUAUCGUAAAUCGACAGAAAUCAAUAGCAGGAUUUGUUGCAAGUACCAAUGCUGAAUUAACAAAGUGGUACUCUCAAUGUGUCAUCCAGAAAACAGGAGAAGAGCUUGUCAAAGAGCUGGAGAUCUGCUUGAAAGCUGCCCUGGAUGUCUGGUGUAAAAACGAAUCAUCGAUGCCACAUUCUGUUAUUGUGUAUCGCGAUGGAGUGGGAGAUGGUCAGCUUCAAGCAUUGCUUGACCAUGAAGCGAAAAAGAUGUCGACCUACUUAAAAACCAUCUCUCCUAACAAUUUCACUCUAGCUUUCAUUGUGGUGAAGAAACGAAUAAACACUAGAUUUUUUCUUAAACAUGGAAGCAAUUUUCAAAAUCCACCUCCAGGAACAGUUAUUGACGUAGAGUUGACUAGGAAUGAAUGGUAUGACUUUUUUAUUGUGAGUCAGUCUGUGCAAGAUGGGACUGUUACCCCCACUCAUUAUAACGUCAUCUAUGACACGAUUGGCUUGAGCCCAGAUACAGUACAGCGUUUAACAUAUUGUCUAUGCCACAUGUAUUAUAAUUUGCCAGGCAUCAUCCGAGUUCCAGCGCCUUGCCACUAUGCCCACAAGCUGGCUUACCUCGUGGGGCAGUCCAUUCACCAGGAACCGAAUCGUUCCUUGUCAACUCGUCUCUUUUACCUUUGA